Diplophrys sp. ATCC_50360 is the source of this 2083-nucleotide non-coding RNA. The record is from Rfam. NCBI's taxonomy places the organism in Eukaryota, Bigyra, Amphitremida.
AACCUGGUUGAUCCUGCCAGUHAUGAUACGCUCGUCUCAAAGAUUAAGCCAUGCAUGUCUAAGUAUACAAAGUCUACUUUGAAACUGCGAACGGCUCAUUAGCCAGUUAUAGUUUAUUUGAUGUAAUGAAUAGGAGUAUUUCGUGGUUGAAGUGGGUGUGGUUGAUACCAUAUCUACUGAACAAUGAUGUACUAAAAAGAGUCUACAGGGAUAACCGUAGUAAUUCUAGAGCUAAUACCAGGAGGUGAUGUGUUGAUUGUGGUUGUUGUUGGUUGUGUUUAUGAUAAUAAUAAAGACAAGCAAACAACACGAACAAACAAUAAGAACCAUAUCCGCAUUUAUUAGAAAAUAAAUCAUUCAAUAAAAAGAAAGAUGAAUCAUAAUAAAAAAGUAAAUCGUUGAUUUAGUAAAAUAAAAGACGAUGAAUCAUUCAAGUAUCUGAUCUAUCAGCUUCGAUGGUAGGGUAUUGGCCUACGAUGGCGUUGACGGGUAACGGAUCUUUAGGGAGAGAAUCCGGAGAGGGAGCCUGAGAAACGGCUACCACAUCCAAGGAAGGCAGCAGGCGCGUAAAUUACCCAAUCCUAAAUCGGGGAGGUAGUGACAAGAAAUAGUGAUGAUGUGUUAUAGAUAAAAAUAUGAUAAAUCGAAACAAUGAGUGUAAUAUAUAUCCGUUAACGAGGAUCAAUUGGAGGGCAAGUCUGGUGCCAGCAGCCGCGGUAAUUCCAGCUCCAAUAGCGUAUAUUAAAGUUGUUGCAGUUAAAAAGCUCGUAGUUGGUGUGAUGUGGUUGGUGGCUUGGAGGUUAGUAUAUGAUAAUGUAAUGUUAUUGUAUAUUCUCUUAGUUAUUACUACUAAUGAGGAAGUAUAUGUGUAAACAAUACUUUCUUAAUUUACUGUGAAAAAAUCAAAGCGUUCAAAGCAGGCUAAAAGGCAAUGAAAAAAGAAUGUUAUAGCAUGGAAUAAUGUUGUUUGUGUUUGUUAUGUUUUAUGGUAAAUAUAAGUGAAUGAACCAUAAAAUAUUGAUUAAAUAGAAUAGGAACAGUCGGGGAUAUUCGUACUUAUAAGUCAGAGGUGAAAUUCUUGGAUUUUCUAAAGACGAACAACUGCGAAAGCAUUUAUCAAGGAUGUUUUCAUUAAUCAAGAACGAAAGUUUGGGGAUCGAAGAUGAUUAGAUACCAUCGUAGUCUAAACCAUAAACAAUGCCGAUUCGAGGGAGGUGUGUGGUAGGUUGUGGUGAUGGGGUGUAGUAAUACAUUUCUUCAUUACAACCAAUAAUAACAUUCAUCUCCAUCGUAUGCGAAAGCAAAAUGUUUGGGUUCUGGGGGGAGUAUGGUCGCAAGGCUGAAACUUAAAGGAAUUGACGGAAGGGCACCAUAAGGCGUGGAGCCUGCGGCUCAAUUUGACUCAACUCGGGGAAACUUAGCAGGGCAGGACAAAAAAAGGAUUGACAGAUUGAAAGCUCUUUCAAGAUUGUUUGGGUGGUGGUGCAUGGCCGUUCUUAGUUGGUGGAUAAUGAUUUGUCAGGUUAAUUCCGAUAACGAACGAGACCUCAAGGAUGAGUUGGAUUGUAUUAAUAUAAAUGUUAAAUAUAAAUUCUCCCCCUCCGACAUUUUGCGAUAAAAAAAUAAAAAAAAAUAGCGGAAGGAAGUUUGAGGCAAUAACAGGUCUGUGAUGCCCUUAGAUGUCCUGCGCCGCACGCGCGCUACAAUGGUUGGGUGAGUGAGUGUUGUUAUGUGGUGUUGUGUUUGGUAAUUCGAAGCACACCAUAUCCUCGGUCUAUUGACCUUGGUAAUCUUAUAACCCCAAUCGUGAUAGGGCUAGAUUCUUGUAAUUAUUAAUCUUCAACGAGGAAUGCCUAGUAAACGCAAGUCAUCAUCUUGCAUUGAAUACAUCCCUGCCCUUUGUACACACCGCCCGUCGCAUCUACCGAUGAAUUUUGCGGUGAAGUCUUGGGAGUGGUGUUAAUUGUAUGUGUAAAAAGCGUUAAAUUAAUAUAAUAAACACGAACUUGAAUAAACCUUAACAUUUAGAGGAAGAUGAAGUCGUAACAAGGUUUCCGUAGGUGAACCUGCAGAAGGAUCAAGC